GACGAACGCUGGCGGCGUGCUUAACACAUGCAAGUCGAACGAAGUGGCGAACGGGUGAGUAACGCGUAAUCAACCUGCCCUUCCGAGGGGGAUAACAGUUGGAAACGACUGCUAAUACCGCAUACUGACGGCGGGAAUUGCGGCUGAUUAGCUAGUUGGAGGGGUAACGGCCCACCAAGGCGAUGAUCAGUAGGCUGGCUGAGAGGGUGAACGGCCACAUGGGGACGUAGACACGGCCCAGACGCUUACGGGAGGCAGCAGUGGGGAAUCUGCCGCAAUGGACGAAAGUCUGACGGAGCAACGCCGCGUGAGUGAUGACGGCCUUCGGGUUGGAAAGCUCUGUUAAUCGGGACGCGGUACCGGAAUAGAAAGCCACGGCUAACUACGUGCCAGCAGCCGCGGUAAUUC
RNAcentral lists this ribosomal RNA (408 nucleotides) under uncultured bacterium. Its description in RNAcentral is "partial 16S ribosomal RNA". It matches the Rfam family "Bacterial small subunit ribosomal RNA", at positions 28 to 526 of the family's 1533-position model. The record is from RNAcentral.